Molecule: long non-coding RNA, 7300 nt
Organism: Pangasianodon hypophthalmus (striped catfish)
Lineage: Eukaryota; Metazoa; Chordata; Actinopteri; Siluriformes; Pangasiidae
Exons: 2
Source: RefSeq, a predicted model, not a curated record
AAGAAAGGGUUCAGCUGGCUUUAUAUACCGCGCCAAAGCUCCGCCCACAGCUCAGCUGCAACAGCAACAGCAACAGCGCUGGACCAAUCAGAGGCCGGCGACGCCGUGACGUAUCGCGGAGGAGGAGCGCGUUUGCGUCACACCCACAGAAAAACACAGCCUGUAAUGGAAGGGGCUCUAAUACCCAGUUUUAUCCUUAUUCUGCUCUUUAUAAUAUUACCUUCCCCUGGCACCUUUUAUUUACUUUAUUCCUUUUCUUCUUCACUGAUUUAUAAGUGGUUUAUACACUCCUGGGCAAAAAAACACAGGCCAAGCCCAGAAUGGCAAAGCUCUUAAUGGCCUUAACAACAAAUCACUGGUGAGAAAAUGAGCAGGAAUGAAACAGAUGCACUCCUGAGAGCUCCUGUGCCUCCAUUUGCUGGUUUCCUUUUGCUGCAGUGAACUGUUUGUUUGGGGAAAAGCUAGAAACAGGGAAAUUCACUUCUACAGUCUUCUUGUACACAAAGGUAAAAUCAUCAUAAUGAUUAAAAUGUUUGGUGUAAAAUUCAAACUAACACGUCACAUGGGUGUACAACAUUUUCCAAAUAUCUUCUGGACGUUUUUUUUUUUUUUCUUAAAAGCUUAAUAUUUUGCCAUUUUGGACUUAGUCCAUUUUGUUUGCACAGGAGUGUACAUACUUAAGGAAGGAACGUGGAUAAUGUUCAUGUUUCUUGAAAAACGAAGUGAUGGAAAGGGCUGAAUGAGGAGUUUAAGAAGAAGAAGAUUUAAUUUGUCACAUAUACAGGACAGUACAGUGAAUUUCUUAUCUUCUCCUAUCCCAGCUCGUCAGGAAGUCAGGGUCCGAGCGCAGGGUCAGAGCGGGGUUAGGAGCAGAGAGGGUUAAGGGCCUCGCUCAAGGGCCCAACGGUGGCAGCUUGGUGGUGCUGGGACUUAAACCCCUGACCUUCUGAUCAGUAACCCAGACCAUACUCUACCUGUCCAGAGCUCUGAAUAACGUUUUGUUGAAUGCGGUUCUUAUAAAACAUACAACAAUAAAGAUGCCUGCCAUAUCUGCAAAAUGAACACAGUGCUAAUAACCCCACAUAAACACAUUUACUGUGUAGUUAUCAAUAUAUACACUGCACAAUGCAGCCCAAAACCUCAAGCAUUUAAGGUUAAACCUUAUGCUUUUUACUCUCUUUUUGUUCAUCUACACUCCUGGGUGAAAGAAUAUAGGCCAAGCCCAAAAUGGCAAAAUAUGAAGCUUUUAAUGGUCUUAACAACAAAUCAUUGGUCAGGAAAUGAGCAAGAAUGAAACUAAUAGAUAAAGGAAGUUAGUAUGCGAGAGCUUUUCCCUUUAAUUUCUUUAAAUGUUUAAGUCUUGUGGCUCUUGAUGAGCUGCAUCAGGUGCAGCAGAGAACCAAAUAAUCACUAAUCUUUUAAGAAAAAAAAAAAAUCCCAGAAGAUAUUUUUGGAAAAUUUUGUACACCCAGACAUGUGUUAGUUUGCAUUUUACAUGAAACAUUUGUGCGUCUGUUUCAUUCUUGCUCAUUUCCUGAGCAGUGAUUUGUUGUUAAAAGCCUAAUAUUAGCCAUUUUAGACUUGGCCUUUUUUUUUGUAUAUACAGUACAUAUUCUCCUUUUAGGCCUCUGUCUCAUUAUAGUACUUAUUAUAAAGAGUUUUUAUAUUAUUAUUAUUAUAAUACAAUAUUAUAUUUUAAUACUGAAAAACGCUAUAAAUACACAUGGUAGAGAUGGCACGAGACCACUUUUUCUUUUACGAUGCCAAUACUCAUAUUGAAACUUUGAGUAUCAGCUGAUAUUGAUACCCGGCUGAUAUUUGGUUUCUUUAAACUAAGCUUUAAAAUGAUUUUUUUAAACAGAAGCACAGAAGAAAAAAAUACAAGACUUACUCACAAAAACACAAUUUUCACACAAACAUUACUUACACUGGAUAAAUAAUAAAGGAUAUAAGGAAUAACAAAGGAUAAUAAAGGAAUAAAGGAUAAAAAUAGUAAAAUCUCUCUAUAUGUAAACAUUUCCAGUUCCAAAAAAAGUUUCCAAAUCCAAUUCCAAUCUUUUCCAUUUGUUAAUCAAAUUAGUUCUUUUUUUCCUCCAAUAUCUGAUCGAUUGUUUUUUGCUGGGAUCGUCUGAGUACUGAUCCUGGCUAUCAGAUCUGUGCCGUCUCUAGCAUAAGGUGAAUUCAGCUAUAUUGGAACAUUGAGGUAGUUUAACUUAGCAGCUUUUGUUUUCUGGCCUGAUAAGUAACAGUCUAAACUUUCGUUACUGAACCUUGCAGUGGAAGUGCUUGAUAGAAACAAACAUGACCUAACUGAUAAUAUAUGACACCUUAUAAAGGGAUGUGGUCAUGAUCAAACAGGAAGUCGACCCCUAAAAGCUUGAGGUAGAAAAAGUAAAUGUGCUUCCAACUUUGUGGCCACAGUUUGGUGAAGAGCCAUAAAUGGGUGUGAUGGUCAGGGGUUCACAAACUUUUGGCCAUAUAGUGUUCAUGCUGUAGAUGUUCUACUGAAACAAAAGAGGCCUAAAGGUAGUACAAAUCAUGUACAGAUGUUUAUAAUUUAAUCAUUUUUAAGAUGUCCCAAAUCACCAAAUGGUUCAGGUCAAUUUUGUUUUAUUCCUUUUAAGAAAGCUUAGACAAUGUGUAGAGCGAGAUAACACACCACACCAAGACAUUUUAGUGCUUUUCACUUGAACACACUUCUGCAACAUGGCGUCUGGAAUUACCCACUGUGUAAGGGGAAAUCCUGGGUGCAGGGCCACAUUAAAUGUCAUUUCUCAGUUUUCACAGCUAGUUUCAUGACAAAGUGCAGAUCUGUUGAAAGUUCCUUAUAUCUUGAGCUUCUGUGCUUUUCACUAUUCGUCCCUAACUGAAAGUGAUCAUCCUGGAAAAAGACUUUUUGUCAGUAGCUGAAAACCGACAAUGGUUCUACUGAUAGUGAGAUAAGCUUUUAGGAAAAAUGUUACCAUACUAAGCCUUAAGCUUUACACCAAAACUACUACUACUACUACUACUACUAUGACUGGCUUUAUUCCAAUUAUCCCACAGUUUUCUUUACACAAGCAACUUUAAUCUGCCCUAUUUUUCAAGAUAAAUCUGAAUGGCUGUAUCUGUUGGUGGAAAUAGAUGACACAAAACACUCAUCUGUUUGGAAAGUUGUGACCUUGCUACUCUCCUUCAGGCCAGACUGUAAGUGUGUUUUCCCUGUGUUUCUUCAUCACAGCUAUCAGCAGUCGAGGGACACUUCACUCAAGGCCCAAUCAGCUUGAAUAGCGCUCUUGAUAGAUAAUCAGCCAUUCUUUGCUUGUUCUUGCUUUAAAUGGUCACUCAGCUUGUGGUCUUUGACCACUCAGAUUGGACUGGCCUUGUACUUGUUCCAAGAUUGUUAUAUAAUACCUUUAAAAAAAAAAAAAUCCGGCUGAUGAAUGAGGUAUAUCUCUUUGGAGCUACGUGUCAGUUAACAGGUGUGAGAAUCAGGAAACAAGGGUGGGAGAGGAGGAAAGCAGGCUGAGUAUAGCCUCUCACACCCCGUGACACACAGACACAACACACUCUGAACACACACUCUUUCAUUCAAACUGAUGCAUGAGUGCUGAACAAACGCUUACUCAUUCUCACUGACAACAUAGUGACUUACCAGAAAAUUCUUUACUUCUAUUAUUUGCAUUGGUGGAGAAUACAUGAGAAAUUAUGUUUCAUUACUAUACUUAUGUGUUAUUUUGGUGUAUCUCCUUUGCCUCCCUAAAAGGCAUGAACUCCAUCUAAUUUAAAAAAGCACAGUGAGAUAAGUUUCAGUAGUUAGCUAACAUUAACUAGCUAUAUUUAACUUGAUUUCUUUGCUAAUACCAGGUUAGACUAGCAUCAGUUCCAGCAGCUAACAUCAUUAGUGAGUCAAAUUCUAGCUAACGGUAAAUAUUUGUUAGUUACAUGAUAUUUCACUUCUGAGUUCUUCAUUAUCAAACUAUGUAGCGUUCAUCAAUCAUAUGACCAGCAAUCCUACAGAGACUGAAUGAUGUUUCCAGACAAAACAGAGUAGUUGCUUUUAAAUAAAAUAAUCUAAAAUAAACAAUGUUAAAUAAGUUAUUUUUCACAUGAAAACAUGACAUUAACUUACUUUCAUCAUUUAAACUCAUUUACCUUUUACUUUUAAAUACUUGAGUACAUCUACAUUUAACAAACUUUAUUAUUUUCACUUGAAUUUUUGGCUGGAUACGUCCACUUUUAACUGAGUAAGGUUUUGAUACAUUAUACACUAUACGGCCAAAAGUAUAUGCACCCCUGACCAUCACACCCCUAUGUCUUCAUUCCCCAAACUGUUUCACAAACUCUGAAGCAAACAAUUGUAUAGAAUGUCUCUGUGUGCUGUAGCAUUACAGUUUCCCUUCACUGGAACUAAGAGGCCCAAACCUGUUCCAGCAUGACAAUGCCCCUGUGCACAAAGCGAGCUCCAUGAAGACAUGGUGUGUGAAGGUUGGAGUGGAAGAACUCGAGUGUCCUGCACAGAGCCCUGACCUCAACCCCACUGAACACCUUUGGGAUGAACUGGAACACCGACUGAACCCCAGACCUCCUCGACAUCCCAACAUCAGCGCCUGACCUCACUAAUGCUCUUGUAGCUGAAUGAACACAAAUCCCCACAGCCACGCUCCAACAUCUAGUGGAAAGCUUCCCAGAAGAGUGGAGCUCAUUAUAACAGCAAACACAGGGGGAAUAAAUCUGGAAUGGGAUGUUCAACAUGUACAUAUGGGUGUGAUGGUCAGGUGUGCACAUACUUUUGGCCAUAUAGUGUAAGUACUUUCACGUAAAGUAUUAUAAUAAGUAAACAUAAUUUCUCAGAAUGAUUUCCACUUUAUUUAUUUAUUUGUUAUACUUCACACUUUGAAAAUGUCACACUUUGAAAGUGGUCUCUGGUGAAAAUGUCAGGCUGUAGUGGUCUCUGGUGAAAAUGUCAGGCCGUAGUGGUGGGGGGUUUUACAGAGUGUUUGACCAGAGGCAAUUCUUACAACAAGCUGAGAUCCAGCAACAUUACAGCUCAGACGUUAUUGUUGGAUUGUCUAUAGAUUACAGCCCCAACCAUCAAACAUGAAAACAACCGUGUUCCUGCAAAGUGAAGAAUGUGGGGAAAAAAUGAGAUAGCAGAGUGUUGGCUCUGGUAGGGAAAGAAAUGAACAACAUGUGCAGGCCUGGUCCUAUAGAGAAGUAGUCAUCUUAAUAAAUACUGAAGUACUCACCAUAAUAAACACAACCCUCCCAUGAGUCAUUCUGGCUCUUCCUCUUUCAUCCAGAUCAUCUGGUUUCUCCUUUAUUUCUCCCCAUGAUCAUGAGUGCUGGAAUUAACCCUUUCACUAAGUAGCCUGUAACAGACUUUCACAUGUAAAUUAUGUAUUAGGGUAAAACUCAAAGCUCUACUCCACACAAAAUACAUACAGCAAUUUAUUUAUCACAGCAAUGAAGAUCUUCAAAUAUUCAAACUGCGUCUUCAUAAAAACAUUACAUUAUAUUUAUUAUUGUUCAAUACAUAGUAUAAAGUAAGAAAAUAUACUAAAACUUUGUAAAAGUAAAACAACUUUAGGGACUUUCUGGGACUUUCUAAACAUCGUAAGGUCUAAUAAAGUAAGUAAACUUUCUAAUAAAGUGAGAUCAUAGUGUCUGACUAAUGUCAGGGCUCUCAAACUGAGACUAGUCACUAUAGAUAGAAAUUUUGUCAUGAUACAGGUACACUCCUAGAUAGAAAAAUGAUUAGCUUGGAUGAUUAGCUUGCUUCAGCUCUUAUCUUCCUAAUGGUGUUCCGCUUGGAGCCUUCUCUGAUGUAGGUUCUCCCACAGACACAAGCCAGUGAACCCUUUUAAGGCUUUUAAAGGUUAAUGAAACUUUUUUGUAAGAGUGUAGAUAUAAAAGGGGUCAAAUAAAUGCACCAAAAAAAAAGAAAAGUGUGUGUGCUCCAAGCAGAACACCAUUAGGAAGCUAAGAGUGUAUGUGUGUGUGUGUGUGUGUGUGUGUGUGUGAGAGAGAGAGAGAGAGAGAGAGAGAAAGAGAGAGAGAGAGAGAGAGAAAGAGAGAGAGAAAGAGAGAGAGAGAGAACCAGAACAGUCUUGAGGGUUUUCUUCCAUCCCUUGAAAUGAUUUUUUUUUUUUUGAGUCACCAGUGGAAGUGACUUAAUUCUUCAAGUGACUUAAUUCCUCCUUAAGCUGUGGUAGAUUCUCAAACACACUGCUUCUUAUGUGAACUUAUCAAAUCUAGGAAUCAUAUUAGAAAUCCACAAGCAGAUUAAAUAUGGACAAAUAAGAGCUAAUCACAUUAUCAGUCCCCUGAACUGAUUUGCAUAAUGUACGGCACUGAUACUGAGGGCUUAAAGGGAGUGUGUCUGUGUGUGUGUGUGUGUGUGUGUGUGAGAGAGAGAGAGAGAGAGAGAGAGUAUGAUACAGAAAAGGCUUUAACAUUGCCGGCAGUGACUAACUCUAUUACCAGCAGCUGUUUCGUCGUACCUGUCUAACCUGAAUAGGAUUUCUGUACACAAUAUGGCACCCAGAACAACCAUACAGAUCAUACAACCUGAUUAACACCAUAACUGGAAAUGAAGUGCAUUUAAAACCAAAAAGCCUCAUCAAAGCAAAAACCAGAAACAAGCAUCAAAGCAUUAACCAUAUCCUAUCCUGGCAGGGAUUUGCAACCAAGCCGCUCCAGGUCGGAUUGAUUAGCUGACUCAUGCAUUACAGUAUAUACCCUCACAACAUCGCUCAUCGCUCUCUGAGUGUGUAACUGUUUAUGGUGUAGCUUUGCUGUAGCAGGGCCUGAUUGUUAAAGACCAGUUAGAGGUUUCACACUAUCAGCCCAUGUCCCUGAAGUGGAGAGCAAAGCCAUCAGUCUCCUCUAAGACCCCAGUCGCACUAUAAAUAGCUGGGAAGUGGAGGCCCACUCAAGCAAGCUAAAUGAGGCUGAAGGGACGUGUCGAGACAUGCUGAACUGCUGCUGUGUGUGGGCCUGGGUAAGGGGGGACUCGCUUCACCAACUGCAGUUACACAAUCACCGAAACUGUGUUGCCUAUUGCUCUUGGAUACAAGCAUAUCAGCAUGUUUUCUCCACUCUGUGUUCGCCUUCUAAACUUCCAGGAUGUGUCCGUGGGUCCAGAUUAACAUUCCUUACUCCUUAAAGUAAACCUAAAAGUGGAAAUGAUUAAAUGAAAUGAGUAAUCACUACUCAAAUGUGUUUAGAUGCCAUAUUUAUGUUAUUAGAACUCAGUAGCUGAACAUUGUUUAAAGAACUCCGAUUGAAAAUCAGAAAAUCUGUUACUUCAUUCUCCUCA